UCAUGUACGCGGACACAGCCACACCCAAUCGUUCUUUGCUUCCCCUGAACAGAGGCGUGGAAUGAGCUUCCAACUUUUUACGAACCGCGCCAAUUCGUCUUCUUGUCGUUGGAGAAAAAAGAACGGAUUAAGACUCACCUGGCGUGGAGAACGACCACGCGAUUCGAAGCACCGUUCAGCCAGGAGUCCAGCUCCUUGCAUAGGGCGCACAGUCUUUCCAAACUGGGUGCCAGACCCUGCGGCCAUCCUGCUUCCCUGGUAUUUGGCUCCCCGGUACGACCCGGCGAUGACAAAUUGAAUCAUAUAAUUAUCACCGUGCUUUCCUCGCAGAAGUGCGGUAGCAUGUUCAAGGACGCCCUGCGCAUCCUCCCUGUACCAGAGCGCAAUGAUUCUUUCGGUGACGUAACAAAGCUCCAUUACUUCUGUAACACGACCUCCACCUUUUCCUGGUCCUGUCGUCGUCGCGUCCGCGCCGACGCCCGGCGUCCUUGCAGGUGCCGUCGCCGACAAGGACGUCUGUAUCUGAAACACGGGCAUUCUUAUUAGUAUCAUUGAUCUUUACGCGCACAUUUAAUAAUUAUCCUUAGUAGAUAAGGCACAUAGAACUUAAUUUCAUUGCUUCUUAUGAAGUUUUUAUGAAGUUCUUGCGCACCAAAAUUUCCUAUAGAAAAGACCGAAGAAGAAACUUGUUCAUCUGGUUAGUUUUACGCUGCAGAUUUCCUUUUUAUUGAGAAUAAAGAAUUUUACAAACGGCUUUGGUAUACACGAAUUCUAAUUUCUACUAAACUGCUUUCUACAGAAUUCUUUAUAUCCAGAAUUCUAAACAAAGGACUCAAGGAGAAUACUCGGCUCGCUACAAAUAUUCGCAUUUCAUAUCGCAUUUUCCCGAAAAACAAAUAAUUCUAGAGUUGCCUCCAAGGUAUGGAACCUAGUUUCGCAAAUCGCCUCUUACGGAAUUUCUUCUGCUCGAAAUAUUCUAAAGAAGCCCAUUGAAGAAGCACUUCGCUCACUUCACCAGCAAUACGCACAAUUUAUAUUCCUAUUUUACCGAACAAAAAACUUACAGUCUGCCCUGCAUGAAAUUUCUUAUAAACCAAAAUUAUCCAAUAAACAUAUCUAAGAAGCACUCUGCUCACUUUACUACCAAUAUUCUUCUUUUAUAUUCCACUUUUGCCUCGAAAAAAGUUACUUUAGAUUUACUACCUAAAUUCAGCACAUUACUUCAUAGAUACUAUAUGAAGUCCACAACUGAAAAACAUGAUAAAUCAUAUUUUCUAUCCUUUAUAAAAGAACUGUUUUA
This 1300-nucleotide unclassified non-coding RNA is filed under the name Bombus terrestris (buff-tailed bumblebee). Its description in RNAcentral is "misc RNA ENSBTSG00005030927.1". The record is from RNAcentral. Lineage: Eukaryota; Metazoa; Arthropoda; Insecta; Hymenoptera; Apidae.